GAUGAAGAAACGCAGCGAAAUGCGAUAAGUAAUGUGAAUUGCAGAAUUCAGUGAAUCAUCGAAUCUUUGAACGCACAUUGCGCCCGCCAGUAUUCUGGCGGGCAUGCCUGUCUGAGCGUCAUUUCAACCCUCAUGCCCCUAGGGCGUGGUGUUGGGGAUCGGCCAAAGCCCGCGAGGGACGGCCGGCCCCUAAAUCUAGUGGCGGACCCGUCGUGGCCUCCUCUGCGAAGUAGUGAUAUUCCGCAUCGGAGAGCGAUGAGCCCCUGCCGUUAAACCCCCAACUUUCCAAGGUUGACCUCAGAUCAGGUAGGAAUACCCGCUGAACUUAAGCAUAUCAAUAAGCGGAGGA
RNAcentral lists this unclassified non-coding RNA (349 nucleotides) under soil metagenome. RNAcentral describes it as "partial contains 5.8S ribosomal RNA, internal transcribed spacer 2, and large subunit ribosomal RNA". The stretch from base 1 to 121 matches the Rfam family "5.8S ribosomal RNA", at positions 35 to 154 of the family's 154-position model. The record is from RNAcentral.